UUCUUGGUCAUUUAGAGGAAGUAAAAGUCGUAACAAGGUUUCCGUAGGUGAACCUGCGGAAGGAUCAUUAAAGAAAUUUAAUAAUUUCGAAAAUGGAUUUUUUUGUUUUGGCAAGAGCAUGAGAGCUUUUACUGGGCAAGAAGACAAGAGAUGGAGAGUCCAGCCGGGCCUGCGCUUAAGUGCGCGGUCUUGCUAGGCUUGUAAGUUUCUUUCUUGCUAUUCCAAACGGUGAGAGAUUUCUGUGCUUUUGUUAUAGGACAAUUAAAACCGUUUCAAUACAACACACUGUGGAGUUUUCAUAUCUUUGCAACUUUUUCUUUGGGCAUUCGAGCAAUCGGGGCCCAGAGGUAACAAACACAAACAAUUUUAUCUAUUCAUUAAAUUUUUGUCAAAAACAAGAAUUUUCGUAACUGGAAAUUUUAAAAUAUUAAAAACUUUCAACAACGGAUCUCUUGGUUCUCGCAUCGAUGAAGAACGCAGCGAAAUGCGAUACGUAAUGUGAAUUGCAGAAUUCCGUGAAUCAUCGAAUCUUUGAACGCACAUUGCGCCCCUUGGUAUUCCAGGGGGCAUGCCUGUUUGAGCGUCAUUUCCUUCUCAAACAUUCUGUUUGGUAGUGAGUGAUACUCUUUGGAGUUAACUUGAAAUUGCUGGCCUUUUCAUUGGAUGUUUUUUCUCCAAAGAGAGGUUUCUCUGCGUGCUUGAGGUAUAAUGCAAGUACGGUCGUUUUAGGUUUUACCAACUGCGGCUAAUCUUUUUUAUACUGAGCGUAUUGGAACGUUAUCGAUAAGAAGAGAGCGUCUAGGCGAACAAUGUUCUUAAAGUUUGACCUCAAAUCAGGUAGGAGUACCCGCUGAACUUAAGCAUAUCAAUAAGCGGAGGAA
This 881-nucleotide ribosomal RNA is filed under the name uncultured fungus. RNAcentral describes it as "eukaryotic LSU rRNA". The stretch from base 433 to 586 matches the Rfam family "5.8S ribosomal RNA". The record is from RNAcentral. Lineage: Eukaryota; Fungi.